GCCUCCAUAGCUCAAUUGGAUAGAGUAGCGGCCUUCUAAUCCGUCGGUUGCCGGUUCGAGUCCGGCUGGGGGCA
This 74-nucleotide transfer RNA is filed under the name Bifidobacterium magnum. It matches the Rfam family "tRNA". Rfam says of the family: Transfer RNA (tRNA) molecules are approximately 80 nucleotides in length. Their secondary structure includes four short double-helical elements and three loops (D, anti-codon, and T loops). Lineage: Bacteria; Bacillati; Actinomycetota; Actinomycetes; Bifidobacteriales; Bifidobacteriaceae. The record is from Rfam by way of RNAcentral.